AUUACAUAAAGAGUCGAACCUGCCCAAUGAUAUUUUUAAAUGGCCGCGGUACUCUGACCGUGCAAAGGUAGCAUAAUCAUUUGCCUUAUAAUUGAAGGCUAGUAUGAACGGUUUGACAAGAGUAGCACUGUCUCUACUAAAUUUUAUAGAAUUUGGUUUUUAGGUGAAGAAACCUAAAUAAAAUUGAAAGACAAGAAGACCCUAUCGAGCUUUAAAAAAUUUUUCUUAAAGAUUUUAGUUGGGGCGACUAAGGAACAACAAAAGCUUCUUUUUUAUAUAUAAACUUAUAUGUUUUGAUCCAAAAAAAUGAUUAAUAGAAUUAGUUACCGUAGGGAUAACAGCAUAAUCUUUUUUGAGAGUUCUUAUCGAAAAAAAGGUUUGUGACCUCGAUGUUGGACUAGGAUAUCCUAAAGGUGUAGAAGCCUUUAAAGGUUGGUCUGUUCGACCAUUAACA
RNAcentral lists this ribosomal RNA (454 nucleotides) under Pseudohoratia lacustris. RNAcentral describes it as "partial 16S ribosomal RNA". It matches the Rfam family "Bacterial large subunit ribosomal RNA", at positions 1840 to 2593 of the family's 2925-position model. The record is from RNAcentral. Lineage: Eukaryota; Metazoa; Mollusca; Gastropoda; Littorinimorpha; Hydrobiidae.